RNAcentral lists this ribosomal RNA (459 nucleotides) under uncultured bacterium. Its description in RNAcentral is "partial 16S ribosomal RNA". It matches the Rfam family "Bacterial small subunit ribosomal RNA", at positions 338 to 795 of the family's 1533-position model. The record is from RNAcentral.
CCUACGGGUGGCAGCAGUGAGGAAUAUUGGUCAAUGGCCGGAAGGCUGAACCAGCCAAGCCGCGUGAAGGACGAAGGUGCCAAGCAUUGUAAACUUCUUUUGUCAAGGGACAAAAUCAGGCUCGAGAGCCUGACCGAGGGUACUUGAAGAAAAAGCAUCGGCUAACUCCGUGCCAGCAGCCGCGGUAAUACGGAGGAUGCGAGCGUUAUCCGGAUUUAUUGGGUUUAAAGGGUGCGUAGGCGGACUGUUAAGUCAGCGGUAAAAGCCCGGGGCUCAACCCCGGCGAGCCGUUGAAACUGGCUGUCUUGAGAUGUCGAGAGGUAUGCGGAAUGCGCAGUGUAGCGGUGAAAUGCGUAGAUAUAUGGAAGAACACCAGUGGCGAAAGCGGCUCUCUGGUCUGUAACUGACGCUGAGGUUCGAAAGCGUGGGUAGCAAACAGGAUUAGAUACCCUUGUAGUC